Molecule: non-coding RNA, 73 nt
Organism: Podarcis lilfordi (Lilford's wall lizard)
Lineage: Eukaryota; Metazoa; Chordata; Lepidosauria; Squamata; Lacertidae
Source: the annotation of a GenBank genome assembly
GGUUCAAUAGCUCAGUAGCUAAACAUGAGACUCUUAAUCUCAGGGUUGUGGGUUCAAGCCUCAUGUUGGGCAU